Molecule: ribosomal RNA, 253 nt
Filed under: uncultured bacterium
Lineage: Bacteria
Description: partial 16S ribosomal RNA
Rfam family: Bacterial small subunit ribosomal RNA
Source: RNAcentral
UACGUAGGGUGCAAGCGUUAAUCGGAAUUACUGGGCGUAAAGCGUGCGCAGGCGGCUUUGCAAGACAGAUGUGAAAUCCCCGGGCUUAACCUGGGAACUGCAUUUGUGACUGCACGGCUGGAGUGCGGCAGAGGGGGAUGGAAUUCCGCGUGUAGCAGUGAAAUGCGUAGAUAUGCGGAGGAACACCGAUGGCGAAGGCAAUCCCCUGGGCCUGCACUGACGCUCAUGCACGAAAGCGUGGGGAGCAAACAGG